This 467-nucleotide ribosomal RNA is filed under the name uncultured bacterium. RNAcentral's name for it is "partial 16S ribosomal RNA". It matches the Rfam family "Bacterial small subunit ribosomal RNA", at positions 28 to 506 of the family's 1533-position model. The record is from RNAcentral.
GACGAACGCUGGCGGCGUGCUUAACACAUGCAAGUCGAACGGAAAGGCCCUGCUUUUGUGGGGUGCUCGAGUGGCGAACGGGUGAGUAACACGUGAGUAACCUGCCCUUGACUUUGGGAUAACUUCAGGAAACUGGGGCUAAUACCGGAUAGGAGCUCCUGCUGCAUGGUGGGGGUUGGAAGGUUUCGGCGGUUGGGGAUGGACUCGCGGCUUAUCAGCUUGUUGGUGGGGUAGUGGCUUACCAAGGCUUUGACGGGUAGCCGGCCUGAGAGGGUGACCGGCCACAUUGGGACUGAGAUACGGCCCAGACUCCUACGGGAGGCAGCAGUGGGGAAUAUUGCACAAUGGGCGGAAGCCUGAUGCAGCAACGCCGCGUGCGGGAUGACGGCCUUCGGGUUGUAAACCGCUUUCGCCUGUGACGAAGCGUGAGUGACGGUAAUGGGUAAAGAAGCACCGGCUAACUACGU